This 73-nucleotide transfer RNA is filed under the name Dermacentor andersoni. RNAcentral's name for it is "transfer RNA threonine (anticodon CGU)". It matches the Rfam family "tRNA". From Rfam's summary of the family: Transfer RNA (tRNA) molecules are approximately 80 nucleotides in length. Lineage: Eukaryota; Metazoa; Arthropoda; Arachnida; Ixodida; Ixodidae. The record is from RNAcentral.
GCCGCGGUAGCUCAGUUGGUUAGAGCAUCGCACGCGUAAUGCGAAGACGUGGGAUCGUUCUCCACCUGUGGCA